AGUCGGGUCCUGUGCAAGGCGGAGCCGUAAACCCCGUCAGGUCCGGAAGGAAGCAGCGGUAGCGGAUUAUCCCCUGUGCCACAGGGUAGCCUGGCUGUC
This is a non-coding RNA of Deltaproteobacteria bacterium, 99 nucleotides long. Lineage: Bacteria; Pseudomonadati; Myxococcota; Myxococcia. The record is from Rfam.